Ictalurus punctatus (channel catfish) is the source of this 176-nucleotide small nuclear RNA. Its record names the gene U1. It matches the Rfam family "U1 spliceosomal RNA". Rfam says of the family: U1 is a small nuclear RNA (snRNA) component of the spliceosome (involved in pre-mRNA splicing). Its 5' end forms complementary base pairs with the 5' splice junction, thus defining the 5' donor site of an intron. The record is from Ensembl. Lineage: Eukaryota; Metazoa; Chordata; Actinopteri; Siluriformes; Ictaluridae.
AUACUUACCUGGCAGGGGCGGCAAUACAUGAUCAAGUAGGUGGGUUCGCGCCAAGGCGAUUGGCUCAACCAUCUGCACUUCAGGCUGUGACCUGACCUUUGCGAAUUCCCCUUUAUGUGGGUAAUCUCGACUGCACAAUUUCUUAUAUUGGGUGACUGCGUUCGCGCUGUCCCCUG